UACUGAGAGGUGAAUUAAAGGAAGAUUGGUUAAAAAUAGUUAAAUAGACAGUAUUUUAAUAAAUUUGUAAAUUCGUAUUAAUAAAGGGUGAAAUCAAUUUUUUUAAUGUGCAAAUGUAUAAAUUAGUUAAAAAUAAAUUGAAGCUGUUAAGACAAAGGUAUGGACCAGGAUUAGAUACCCUGUUACACUUUGUUUAAAAUUAAUAUACCUGGGUAUUAAACAGUUAUUGGCUUGAAACUCAAAGGAUUUGGCGGUAGUUUAGUCUAUUUAGAGGAACCUGUUCUGUAAUCGAUAGUCCACGAAAAAUCUUACUUUAUCUUGUAUUAUACCAGUUUGUAUACCGUUAUUAUUAGAUAACUUUAAUAAAAUAUUUAGUUAUUGAAAUAGUUUUUAUUUAAUAUAUUAGAUCAAGGUGCAGCUUAUGGUAAAGGAGAAAUGGGUUACAAUAAUAUAAGUAGUUAUAAUGGAUUGAAAAAAGAACUUUUUUAUGAAAGUGGAUUUAAUAGUAAGAAAGUUUUAAUAAGGCUUUCUGAUUGUAGCUCUAAGCUAUGUACACAUCGCCCGUCGCUCUCGUUAAUUAAAGC
This 584-nucleotide ribosomal RNA is filed under the name Metapenaeopsis palmensis. Its description in RNAcentral is "partial 12S ribosomal RNA". The stretch from base 211 to 584 matches the Rfam family "Microsporidia small subunit ribosomal RNA", at positions 752 to 1218 of the family's 1311-position model. The record is from RNAcentral. Lineage: Eukaryota; Metazoa; Arthropoda; Malacostraca; Decapoda; Penaeidae.